Rattus norvegicus (Norway rat) is the source of this 884-nucleotide non-coding RNA. The record is from RefSeq and is a predicted model, not a curated record. Lineage: Eukaryota; Metazoa; Chordata; Mammalia; Rodentia; Muridae.
GAAUUUGGGAAGUGGGGGCAUGGGAGGGCUAGAAGAGGCAGAGGGGAGGGGGAGAUGCUGUAAAUACUGUACUCAAACGAAAGUCUCAAAAAUAAGCUGGGCUUUGUGUGUGUGCGCGCCUUUAAUCCCAACAUUUGGGAGGCAGAGACAGGCAGAUCUCUGUGAACUUGAGGCUAGUCUGGUCUACACGUAGUGAGCUCUCGAACAGCCAGGACUACAUAGAGAGAACCUGUUUUAGAAAACCAUAUGUAUGUCUAUGUGUAUAAUAUGUAUUGGAUGAAGUGGAAACUUCUGGUUUCUUUGGAAACUCAUUUGUGUCACGUGAUUUUUUUCUGGAAGCUGUCUCGUGAGAGGAUGUUUUGCUGAAGCAGACACUUGAGAGGGCAUGCGAUGUUUAGAAAGAAAAUAUAAAUAUAAUCCCACAAACAGUGAGAGGAUGCUCUUGCAUUGCUACUCCUCGAAACACUUUGCUGGUCUUCGUAGGUCUCCACUUCAUAGAGAGAAAAGCACCGAAGAACUUCAUAGCAUUUUGACUGAGUCUUGCUGCUUUGGCUGACUUGUACUGAUUGGUGGAGGGAGCACUGCAGUUUCUGCUGGAUUGAGCAGCUGCUACUGAUUCGUGUUUGGUGUUUCCUUUUGGACUGGACUGCUGGUAUCCUGAUUGUGAAGAAGUCAUCUCAAAGAAUUACUUCUAACAUUUGUGCAGAAAUAACUCUGAAUUUGUGGUUCUAAAGACAAGCGAUAAAAAAAAAAAGAAAGAAAGAAAGAAAGAAAAAGGACGAAGCUCACCAAAUUGCCUUCUAAAAGUAUAUUAUUUUCUGUUUCACUUCGUUUGAGUUUUUGUCUAAGUAUGGUGGAAAAAUAAAAUCUGAAAGUGGGAAAAA